This 1554-nucleotide ribosomal RNA is filed under the name Escherichia coli. Its description in RNAcentral is "bacterial SSU rRNA". It matches the Rfam family "Bacterial small subunit ribosomal RNA". The record is from RNAcentral. Lineage: Bacteria; Pseudomonadati; Pseudomonadota; Gammaproteobacteria; Enterobacterales; Enterobacteriaceae.
AAAUUGAAGAGUUUGAUCAUGGCUCAGAUUGAACGCUGGCGGCAGGCCUAACACAUGCAAGUCGAACGGUAACAGGAAGAAGCUUGCUUCUUUGCUGACGAGUGGCGGACGGGUGAGUAAUGUCUGGGAAACUGCCUGAUGGAGGGGGAUAACUACUGGAAACGGUAGCUAAUACCGCAUAACGUCGCAAGACCAAAGAGGGGGACCUUCGGGCCUCUUGCCAUCGGAUGUGCCCAGAUGGGAUUAGCUAGUAGGUGGGGUAACGGCUCACCUAGGCGACGAUCCCUAGCUGGUCUGAGAGGAUGACCAGCCACACUGGAACUGAGACACGGUCCAGACUCCUACGGGAGGCAGCAGUGGGGAAUAUUGCACAAUGGGCGCAAGCCUGAUGCAGCCAUGCCGCGUGUAUGAAGAAGGCCUUCGGGUUGUAAAGUACUUUCAGCGGGGAGGAAGGGAGUAAAGUUAAUACCUUUGCUCAUUGACGUUACCCGCAGAAGAAGCACCGGCUAACUCCGUGCCAGCAGCCGCGGUAAUACGGAGGGUGCAAGCGUUAAUCGGAAUUACUGGGCGUAAAGCGCACGCAGGCGGUUUGUUAAGUCAGAUGUGAAAUCCCCGGGCUCAACCUGGGAACUGCAUCUGAUACUGGCAAGCUUGAGUCUCGUAGAGGGGGGUAGAAUUCCAGGUGUAGCGGUGAAAUGCGUAGAGAUCUGGAGGAAUACCGGUGGCGAAGGCGGCCCCCUGGACGAAGACUGACGCUCAGGUGCGAAAGCGUGGGGAGCAAACAGGAUUAGAUACCCUGGUAGUCCACGCCGUAAACGAUGUCGACUUGGAGGUUGUGCCCUUGAGGCGUGGCUUCCGGAGCUAACGCGUUAAGUCGACCGCCUGGGGAGUACAGCCGCAAGGUUAAAACUCAAAUGAAUUGACGGGGGCCCGCACAAGCGGUGGAGCAUGUGGUUUAAUUCGAUGCAACGCGAAGAACCUUACCUGGUCUUGACAUCCACGGAAGUUUUCAGAGAUGAGAAUGUGCCUUCGGGAACCGUGAGACAGGUGCUGCAUGGCUGUCGUCAGCUCGUGUUGUGAAAUGUUGGGUUAAGUCCCGCAACGAGCGCAACCCUUAUCCUUUGUUGCCAGCGGUCCGGCCGGGAACUCAAAGGAGACUGCCAGUGAUAAACUGGAGGAAGGUGGGGAUGACGUCAAGUCAUCAUGGCCCUUACGACCAGGGCUACACACGUGCUACAAUGGCGCAUACAAAGAGAAGCGACCUCGCGAGAGCAAGCGGACCUCAUAAAGUGCGUCGUAGUCCGGAUUGGAGUCUGCAACUCGACUCCAUGAAGUCGGAAUCGCUAGUAAUCGUGGAUCAGAAUGCCACGGUGAAUACGUUCCCGGGCCUUGUACACACCGCCCGUCACACCAUGGGAGUGGGUUGCAAAAGAAGUAGGUAGCUUAACCUUCGGGAGGGCGCUUACCACUUUGUGAUUCAUGACUGGGGUGAAGUCGUAACAAGGUAACCGUAGGGGAACCUGCGGUUGGAUCACCUCCUUACCUUAAAGAAGC